This 113-nucleotide non-coding RNA is filed under the name Aurantiochytrium limacinum. Lineage: Eukaryota; Bigyra; Thraustochytrida; Thraustochytriidae. The record is from RNAcentral.
AAGAGAAGAAAAGAGUAGAAAAGAGAAGAAAGAAUCACUAAAAACCAAAGGAAGAUCAAAACAGAUCGAGUGCUCUCUUUCUCCUUCUUUCGAUCCCUCUUUCUCUCUGUCUU